AAUGAAGGCCUCUCUCCGGCGAGCUCCCUUCUCCCUCUAGUAAGCUUUCUUCGGCAACCAGGUUAGCCUUCUUUUUCGACGCUGAUCCCCACUGUGUCAUCGUCCUAGCCUCACCAACGAGAUCUUUAGCUUUGGCUAGCCAGCAUCAACAGGAAUCAACGUGUCGCCACACCCCUGCCCGGCACAGCCUUCCCCUCGCUUUACCCUGCCACCAACACCAGCCCUCCACCGGUUGCUGACCCCCGUGGCUCCGCGACAGUGCCACCGCAUUGCUCGCCCUUGUUUGCCACCCAACGCCGGUCCGCCGCCUCACAAGCCCUCCCUCUAAGCCCGAUCCCCACUUACCUCUCUCUAAUGCCACUUUCCCUCCACCACACUCUCGAAGUUCUAACCCUAACUAUAGCUUGUCGUCAUGUGGUCGAAAACUGCGUGCGACGUUCCUCCCUAGCGAGCACGCGUUAAUUAGGAUUGCUAUUAAAUACUCCCUCCGUUUUACAAUGUAAGUAAUUCUAGUAUUUCACACAUUUAUAUUACAUUUAUAUUGAUGCUAAUGAAUCUAGAUAUAUAUUAGAUAUAUAUUGUGAAACGGAGGUAGUACUUAAAUACAUCCACUUGUGGCGUACUACUAAUUUAUUACCACU
This 641-nucleotide small RNA is filed under the name Oryza sativa Japonica Group (Japanese rice). Its description in RNAcentral is "sRNA Os02g0493200". Lineage: Eukaryota; Viridiplantae; Streptophyta; Magnoliopsida; Poales; Poaceae. The record is from RNAcentral.